CACAUCUGGAAUAUCUAGUCCCACACACAGGUGUCUUGACUUGGUGAUCUCACACAGUUGUCUCAAUGUGUCACACAGGUAUUAUUAAAGCCAUCUCACAUGUGCUUUGUCUCC
Molecule: long non-coding RNA, 114 nt
Organism: Haliotis rubra (blacklip abalone)
Lineage: Eukaryota; Metazoa; Mollusca; Gastropoda; Lepetellida; Haliotidae
Exons: 2
Source: RefSeq, a predicted model, not a curated record